This 86-nucleotide ribosomal RNA is filed under the name Proteus mirabilis. Lineage: Bacteria; Pseudomonadati; Pseudomonadota; Gammaproteobacteria; Enterobacterales; Morganellaceae. The record is from RNAcentral.
GAUCCCAUGCCGAACUCAGAAGUGAAACGCCGUAGCGCCGAUGGUAGUGUGGGGUCUCCCCAUGUGAGAGUAGGGAACUGCCAAGC